RNAcentral lists this ribosomal RNA (207 nucleotides) under uncultured bacterium. RNAcentral describes it as "partial 16S ribosomal RNA". It matches the Rfam family "Bacterial small subunit ribosomal RNA", at positions 568 to 774 of the family's 1533-position model. The record is from RNAcentral.
CGUGUAGGCGGGUGCGCAAGUCCGAUGUGAAAUCCACCGGCUCACCCGGUGAAGUGCAUUGGAUACUGCGUGUCUUGAGUGUGGGAGAGGAGAGUGGAACUCUUGGUGGAGCGGUGAAAUGCGUAGAUAUCAAGAGGAACGCCGGUGGCGAAAGCGGCUCUCUGGCCCAUUACUGACGCUGAGGCGCGAAAGCUAGGGGAGCAAACG